Molecule: ribosomal RNA, 487 nt
Filed under: uncultured bacterium
Lineage: Bacteria
Description: bacterial SSU rRNA
Rfam family: Bacterial small subunit ribosomal RNA
Source: RNAcentral
CGAGUUUGAUCAUGGCUCAGAUUGAACGCUGGCGGCAGGCCUAACACAUGCAAGUCGAGCGGGUUUCGGACCUAGCGGCGGACGGGUGAGUAAUGCGUAGGAAGCUACCGACAGAGGGGAUACCAGUUGGAAACGACUGUUAAUACCGCAUAAUGUCUAGGACCAAAGUGUGGGACCUUCGGGCCACAUGCUAUCGGAUGCGCCUACGUGGGAUUAGCUAGUUGGUGGGGUAAUGGCUCACCAAGGCGACGAUCCCCUAGCUGGUUUGAGAGGAUGAUCAGCCACACUGGAACUGAGACACGGUCCAGACUCCUACGGGAGGCAGCAGUGGGGAAUAUUGGACAAUGGGCGCAAGCCUGAUCCAGCCAUGCCGCGUGUGUGAAGAAGGCCUUCGGGUUGUAAAGCACUUUCAGCGAGGAGGAAGGGUUAGUAGUUAAUAGCUGCUAAUUUGACGUUACUCGCAGAAGAAGCACCGGCUAACUCUGUG